UAAUACGGAGGAUGCAAGCGUUGUCCGGAUUCAUUGGGUUUAAAGGGUGCGUAGGCGGAGAUUUAAGUCAGUGGUGAAAGCUUACAGCUUAACUGUAAAAAUGCCAUUGAAACUGAUUUUCUUGAGUUCGAUUGAGGUAGAUGGAAUGUAUCAUGUAGCGGUGAAAUGCUUAGAUAUGAUACAGAACACCGAUUGCGAAGGCAGUCUACUAAGUCGAUACUGACGCUGAGGCACGAAAGCAUGGGGAGCAAACAGGAUUAGAUACCCUGGUAGUCCAUGCCCUAAACGUUGAUUACUCGUUGUUGGCGAUACACUGUCAGCGACUAAGCGAAAGCGUUAAGUAAUCCACCUGGGGAGUACGAUCGCAAGGUUG
This 373-nucleotide ribosomal RNA is filed under the name uncultured bacterium. RNAcentral's name for it is "bacterial SSU rRNA". It matches the Rfam family "Bacterial small subunit ribosomal RNA", at positions 521 to 896 of the family's 1533-position model. The record is from RNAcentral.